This 296-nucleotide long non-coding RNA is filed under the name Daucus carota (carrot). RNAcentral's name for it is "long non-coding RNA (DCAR_LNC004987)". The record is from RNAcentral. Lineage: Eukaryota; Viridiplantae; Streptophyta; Magnoliopsida; Apiales; Apiaceae.
UUGAACACAUUGACACUGACCAGAUAAGCAUGCUCAGUUGAUAACAAAAAUCAAAGAAGUGUACAGAAUAAUUAAAAGGAAAAAAAAAAAAAAGAUAAGCUUUCAGGUNAAAAAUCAAAGAAGUGUACAGAAUAAUUAAAAGGAAAAAAAAAAAAAAGAUAAGCUUUCAGGUGGUACUAUCUACGACUGGCAUAAAUGUAAGCCACAACCAUCUGCCACAAGGUUGAGCUUCGGAUAUACAAAAUUAACUAUUAAAAAUAAUUGUGAUCCUGAAAUAUUUUGAAGAUAAUAAAAAA